CUGCGAAUGGCUCAUUAAAUCAGUUAUCGUUUAUUUGAUAGUACCUUACUACUUGGAUAACCGUGGUAAUUCUAGAGCUAAUACAUGCUAAAAACCCCAACUUCGGGAGGGGUGUAUUUAUUAGAUAAAAAACCAACGCCCUUCGGGGCUCCUUGGUGAAUCAUAAUAACUUAACGGAUCGCAUGGCCUUGCGCCGGCGACGGUUCAUUCAAAUUUCUGCCCUAUCAACUUUCGAUUGUAGGGUAUUGGCCUACAAUGGUAUCAACGGGUAACGGGGAAUUAGGGUUCGAUUCCGGAGAGGGAGCCUGAGAAACGGCUACCACAUCCAAGGAAGGCAGCAGGCGCGCAAAUUACCCAAUCCCGACACGGGGAGGUAGUGACAAUAAAUACUGAUACAGGGCUCUUUUGGGUCUUGUAAUUGGAAUGAGUACAAUUUAAAUCCCUUAACGAGGAACAAUUGGAGGGCAAGUCUGGUGCCAGCAGCCGCGGUAAUUCCAGCUCCAAUAGCGUAUAUUAAAGUUGUUGCAGUUAAAAAGCUCGUAGUUGAACCUUGGGCCUGGCUGGCCGGUCCGCCUCACCGCGUGCACUGGUCCGGCCGGGCCUUUCCUUCUGGAGAGCCGCAUGCCCUUCACUGGGUGUGUCGGGGAACCAGGACUUUUACUUUGAAAAAAUUAGAGUGUUCAAAGCAGGCCUUUGCUCGAAUACAUUAGCAUGGAAUAAUAGAAUAGGACGUGCGGUUCUAUUUUGUUGGUUUCUAGGACCGCCGUAAUGAUUAAUAGGGAUAGUCGGGGGCAUCAGUAUUCAAUUGUCAGAGGUGAAAUUCUUGGAUUUAUUGAAGACUAACUACUGCGAAAGCAUUUGCCAAGGAUGUUUUCAUUAAUCAGUGAACGAAAGUUAGGGGAUCGAAGACGAUCAGAUACCGUCGUAGUCUUAACCGUAAACUAUGCCGACUAGGGAUCGGGCGAUGUUAUUAUUUUGACUCGCUCGGCACCUUACGAGAAA
RNAcentral lists this ribosomal RNA (1002 nucleotides) under Rhytidhysteron sichuanense. RNAcentral's name for it is "SSU rRNA". It matches the Rfam family "Eukaryotic small subunit ribosomal RNA", at positions 87 to 1097 of the family's 1831-position model. Lineage: Eukaryota; Fungi; Ascomycota; Dothideomycetes; Hysteriales; Hysteriaceae. The record is from RNAcentral.